UUUUUUUUUUCUUUUUUUUUGUCUUUACACUUGUGAAUAGACUUGUGGCUCCUUUGUUUGGAUCUGGCCUUGCAAGAGCCCAUGUCUGAGGAGUCAGUCCACCUACAACUCCUGCAAUGCAGGAGUACAGACAAUGACAUUUCAUUCUGUGGUAAGUGCCAAAAGUUUGGUCUCUUUAUUCAUAGAGGUUUUAUUUUUUUCUUAUCCCUUUUUUAUUUUUGUUUUCAAAAUCUUUUUUGUCUAUGUCUUAGUAAAAGUUCUCCUGACCAAGUGUAUUCAAUCACAAAAACAUCCUCAGAGAAAAACAGCACUUACUCACCUCCAGAGCACCCAGUGCAAUGUUGCACAAGCUGCUGAAAUAAACAUCUAAAGUAAUUUUUCACUGGGUAAACGGAUGGCUGGACCAGAACCACAGAGCAGCAAAGCACACUUGAGAUUUAGUCUCCAUCCUUCUGUCAAGGACAGAGCGUUGGCAGCUCCACCAGCCCAGCCCAUGCCUCUCCACCCAACCUCUGCUCAAUAACUUCGGUCUCCAGACUGGUGCCAGGUACACUUUGCAUGGACUAAGUGGCUACCAAGAGAAAUUUUGCUCCUGGGCUUGUAUUCAUCACUCUUUAGAUAAAAAGGGGGGCAGGUUGCUCAUAUCUGUUCUGACAAGGUCUGACAAUGCCCUGACAAGGUCUGAGUGACUGUUAAAAAUGCUUCUUAUAUGGGAGUGGGAAAAGUGAAGGUUUGCAGAUUGCAUUGUUGUGGUAGUUUUUUUUUCCCAAAUAAAUGAGUCACUAGACACUUGGCAAGUAUCUGUCUGCAAAUCAUUGGGAAGGAGAAGCAGACACUGUAGCCUAUUUUUAUCUGUGUAAGAGUCCCAACAGGGAUAUUAGCAAAAAUGAAGAUAAGGAAUGCUAUGCUGCCAAGCGCAUGGUACUGCCACAGGCCCAAUAUCUGGACCUGGACUCACAUUUUGGCAAACCCUGCAAGCUCCCAACAGAGACAGUAGAGGAGAGCAGGAGUGACUGGUUGCCAUUUCCAGUGCUACAGGUAAUUUGUAUCCUACUAAAAAAAACAAGUAAUCUAUUCCUUGUGUUUAAUUCAACUUCCAGAUCUCAGUAAAUCACACAAAACUGGACUGCUCCCCCAAGAGAGCAGGUCACUCUUUGGUACCAAGUAAGAGCAUUUGUUUUCUACUUGGUUUCACUGUGGGCGUAAGCAAUGUAUCUCUACAGAAGUAAAAUAUAAAAUAUAAAAGUGAGUUGUGGGUUUCCGUAACCAAAAGGCCUCUAGGUAGGUGGAGAAGCAGCUGGCACAGAUACCAGUGCAGACAGAUAAGAGUUUAGGAGUGGUAUGUAUCUAUGACAUUUAAUCCACCCACUUUAUUUAUUGCACACCGUGCAAUGUGUAGGUGGCAUGAGAUCCAUUCCCCCACCUACUCCACGGUAUGGUGUGUGGGACUCCUACUUCCCCAUGCUGCUCUGAGACUGAACCAGGAGCAGAUCUGCAAGACCUCCCUCCUGGAAAGAUGGUGUGCCCGGAGGACUGGCUCAGGGCAGGCAAGUUCUUUGGUCAGCUUCCUGUUUUCCUAACACAGGGUGUCUUUGCAGUGCACCAAGAGUGUAUUUUGCUUGCAAGCGUCACCUAGAGAUGGGGAAUCUCAGUGCUGUGGAAUGCCUCAAAACAAAUCAAUCAUUUAAAAGGAGCUGUUUCCCCAGCUGCUCUCCAACAGUCUGUGGUGAGAUGUCCCCCACAGCUAAAUAGACUGUCAGUCCUACAGCCUUAAUCCAGGGUGUGAUUAUCCAUCGCUCUCCGGGUGCCCAGCAGCCCACGCUGCCCAAUGUCACUGGUGCAGUACAGCCCCGGGCAGGUGCCUGGUGGGAGCUGUUGCUCCCUGAGCUGCUGGCAGUCAGAGGUCUGAGUGGCACUGAGGGCUCACUGUGGUCUUUGCUGUUCUCAAUGACACAGAGAAAGAGAAGGAGCAAAAGAAAGACAACAUCUUCCUUUUAUCUCUCUCAUAAGAAAGGCAGGCAGGACUGUGCCAUGGAGCCAGCAGCAUAUCCCUUACGGCUCCUGACAAAGUCCUGACAGUUCCUGUGAUUUGCAUCUCAACAGACAUAAGGAAUUGGCCCUUCAUUCUUUAGCUACUCUUGUUAGGUAACACUUAAAUAGACAAACUGCAAAAUUAUUAAGGCAAAAUGCUUAAAUACCACCACAGGGAGCAAUAUCUCUCAUGGAAGCGGAAUCUGAGUACAUUUUCAAAAAUGUGUGGUAUAGGAGUUUUCUAAUAUAUCUUUUAGACUUGAAAAUGCACUGACAAAUCAAUGUCUUUUUAUUUGGUGAAGGAAGCAAGAAUGAGUGUGUUUUCCCGGGAUGUGUUAUACAUGUUUUGUUUGAAAACUUAAACAGAACAAUUAAACUAUAUUUUAAUUUGGCA
RNAcentral lists this long non-coding RNA (2425 nucleotides) under Taeniopygia guttata (zebra finch). RNAcentral describes it as "lncRNA (ENSTGUG00000023171.1)". The record is from RNAcentral. Lineage: Eukaryota; Metazoa; Chordata; Aves; Passeriformes; Estrildidae.